ACGUGGCUGACAGAAAAAACCUGAAAACGCAUAAUCCCACUCCUCUUCUUCCUCCCGAGCCUCCCAACACAUCGCUCUCCUUCACUCUCUUCACCUCCCCUCCCAUCCAAAAACCCAACUUGGGGGGGCAUUUUAUUUUUUUGCCUUCUUCUACAGCAAUCCCAAAGAUCAAUCAUGAGAUUGGAGAGUUUUUCCUCCAAAAUCUCAGCAACCAAACACAACCAAGAAGCUUACAGAUAAGGAGGCGAGGCGAUGAGGGCAUCUGUCAUCGAAAGCGACCCACGAUUCACCAUCGUACCAGAUAACAAGGUCUCGACCCAUAAGCUAAACUGGGGUUGGCAACCGAGGAUCCAAAUCUUCAAUCAAAUAAACUGGGUACCAAUGAUCCCUCAAAUUGAACUUGUUCGUCGAUGUCGCGUCUUCAAUUUCGUCCUCAGCUCCGUAAUCUUCCCCGUCCGGUUCCCUCUAUCCUUCUGGGUCAGUGGUUUGUGGCGGCGGCGAUGCACUCGCAACUACUCUCAGAUGAGAUAAGGAAGAGAAGGACAAGGUGACUACUGAACAAGUCGACGAACACCAUGGGAGUUGAAUAUCAAGAAAUUGUGUUGAGGUGGUGUAGGGUUGAGUAGCUGGGUUUCGAGUUGCAGCUCUAUUCUAGACUAGUAGAAGGGAGUCCAGACAUAUAUCUUUUGGGUGAGCUGCCAAAGUAUUUGUAUAGUUAGUCUUUGUUUGUAAAUGAUCUUUUUAUUGCGUUGUAGACUUGGAAGGUGUAGGCCACAAUGGGUUAGUGUCUCUACUUACUUGGGCAAUGAAAACCAUGUAUAUAUGGUCACUUGUCUUUUGGCUUGUAUAAAUUAUGCUCAUGUACAUUUUCAUCAAAUGACAUGAACAUGUUUUUCUUGUAAGAAGCCUUGAAGGUCUUUUGUGAACUUAUUAUAAUUUGUAAGGCUUAAUGAAUUGCCUUUGGAGAACCA
Malus domestica (apple) is the source of this 971-nucleotide long non-coding RNA. RefSeq lists it as uncharacterized. The record is from RefSeq and is a predicted model, not a curated record. NCBI's taxonomy places the organism in Eukaryota, Viridiplantae, Streptophyta, Magnoliopsida, Rosales, Rosaceae.